GCUAAUGUGGCUCAGUCGGUAGAGCAGUUGAUUCGUAAUCAACAGGUCGCGGGUUCGAAUCCCGCCAUUAGCUCCA
This 76-nucleotide transfer RNA is filed under the name Clostridia bacterium. Its description in RNAcentral is "tRNA-Thr". It matches the Rfam family "tRNA". Rfam says of the family: Transfer RNA (tRNA) molecules are approximately 80 nucleotides in length. Their secondary structure includes four short double-helical elements and three loops (D, anti-codon, and T loops). Further hydrogen bonds mediate the characteristic L-shaped molecular structure. tRNAs have two regions of fundamental functional importance: the anti-codon, which is responsible for specific mRNA codon recognition, and the 3' end, to which the tRNAs corresponding amino acid is attached (by aminoacyl-tRNA synthetases). tRNAs cope with the degeneracy of the genetic code in two manners: having more than one tRNA (with a specific anti-codon) for a particular amino acid; and 'wobble' base-pairing, i.e. permitting non-standard base-pairing at the 3rd anti-codon position. The record is from RNAcentral. Lineage: Bacteria; Bacillati; Bacillota; Clostridia.